Molecule: RNase P RNA, 373 nt
Filed under: Candidatus Nomurabacteria bacterium RIFCSPHIGHO2_12_FULL_44_22b
Lineage: Bacteria; Candidatus Nomuraibacteriota
Also listed under: 2 other names
Description: RNase P RNA component class A
Rfam family: Bacterial RNase P class A
About the family: Ribonuclease P (RNase P) is a ubiquitous endoribonuclease, found in archaea, bacteria and eukarya as well as chloroplasts and mitochondria. Its best characterised activity is the generation of mature 5'-ends of tRNAs by cleaving the 5'-leader elements of precursor-tRNAs.
Source: RNAcentral
GUCCUGUAUUGGAUGCUACUCUUCUGGCUUUGGUCGGAGGGGAGGAAAGUCCGAACACACAGCUCCGGCUUCGGUCGGAAUUAAACGUAGUGGGUAACGCCCGUCCGGCGCAAGUCGCGAGGUGCGAACAGUGACGAAACCCUUCAGUGGGAGUGAAACGGGGCCGACGUAAAGUCGUGCCCUCCGACCCUUAAGUUUUCUUGAGGCGUCGGAGCAAAAUCCUUACGCGUGUGCAAGAUCGUGUCCCUCACCAAUUUUUACAAAUUGGUGAGGGAAGAAUCGCUUGAGUCCGGGAGCAAUUUCGGACCUAGAUAAAUUGCAUCAUCCCGCCCUUGGCGGGAAACAGAAUUCGGCUUAUAGAUACAGAACCAAA